This 3007-nucleotide ribosomal RNA is filed under the name Salmonella enterica subsp. enterica serovar Eastbourne. Its description in RNAcentral is "23S ribosomal RNA". It matches the Rfam family "Bacterial large subunit ribosomal RNA". The record is from RNAcentral. Lineage: Bacteria; Pseudomonadati; Pseudomonadota; Gammaproteobacteria; Enterobacterales; Enterobacteriaceae.
GGUUAAGCGACUAAGCGUACACGGUGGAUGCCCUGGCAGUCAGAGGCGAUGAAGGGCGUGCUAAUCUGCGAUAAGCGCCGGUAAGGUGAUAUGAACCGUUAUAACCGGCGAUACCCGAAUGGGGAAACCCAGUGUGACUCGUCACACUAUCAUUAACUGAAUCCAUAGGUUAAUGAGGCGAACCGGGGGAACUGAAACAUCUAAGUACCCCGAGGAAAAGAAAUCAACCGAGAUUCCCCCAGUAGCGGCGAGCGAACGGGGAGGAGCCCAGAGCCUGAAUCAGCAUGUGUGUUAGUGGAAGCGUCUGGAAAGGCGCGCGAUACAGGGUGACAGCCCCGUACACAAAAGCGCAUGUGCUGUGAGCUCGAUGAGUAGGGCGGGACACGUGGUAUCCUGUCUGAAUAUGGGGGGACCAUCCUCCAAGGCUAAAUACUCCUGACUGACCGAUAGUGAACCAGUACCGUGAGGGAAAGGCGAAAAGAACCCCGGCGAGGGGAGUGAAAAAGAACCUGAAACCGUGUACGUACAAGCAGUGGGAGCCCCACCACUAAGCCAGUGGUGAACUCCACAUACGCAUCCUUUGCUGAGGAUACGGUUAACGGAGCGCAAGCGACGUUCAACCGCAAAAGAAGUAGAGGGGGCUUAGUGGUGGGGUGACUGCGUACCUUUUGUAUAAUGGGUCAGCGACUUAUAUUCUGUAGCAAGGUUAACCGAAUAGGGGAGCCGGAGGGAAACCGAGUCUUAAUUGGGCGUUAAGUUGCAGGGUAUAGACCCGAAACCCGGUGAUCUAGCCAUGGGCAGGUUGAAGGUUGGGUAACACUAACUGGAGGACCGAACCGACUAAUGUUGAAAAAUUAGCGGAUGACCUGUGGCUGGGGGUGAAAGGCCAAUCAAACCGGGAGAUAGCUGGUUCUCCCCGAAAGCUAUUUAGGUAGCGCCUCGUGAAUUCAUCUCCGGGGGUAGAGCACUGUUUCGGCUAGGGGGCCAUCCCGGCUUACCAACCCGAUGCAAACUGCGAAUACCGGAGAAUGUUAUCACGGGAGACACACGGCGGGUGCUAACGUCCGUCGUGAAGAGGGAAACAACCCAGACCGCCAGCUAAGGUCCCAAAGUCAUGGUUAAGUGGGAAACGAUGUGGGAAGGCCCAGACAGCCAGGAUGUUGGCUUAGAAGCAGCCAUCAUUUAAAGAAAGCGUAAUAGCUCACUGGUCGAGUCGGCCUGCGCGGAAGAUGUAACGGGGCUAAACCAUGCACCGAAGCUGCGGCAGCGACGCUGAUGCGUUGUUGGGUAGGGGAGCGUUCUGUAAGCCUGCGAAGGUGGCCUGUGAGGGUUGCUGGAGGUAUCAGAAGUGCGAAUGCUGACAUAAGUAACGAUAAAGCGGGUGAAAAGCCCGCUCGCCGGAAGACCAAGGGUUCCUGUCCAACGUUAAUCGGGGCAGGGUGAGUCGACCCCUAAGGCGAGGCCGAAAGGCGUAGUCGAUGGGAAACGGGUUAAUAUUCCCGUACUUGGUGUUACUGCGAAGGGGGGACGGAGAAGGCUAUGUUGGCCGGGCGACGGUUGUCCCGGUUUAAGCGUGUAGGUGUGUGUUCCAGGUAAAUCCGGUUCACUUUAACACUGAGGCGUGAUGACGAGGCACUACGGUGCUGAAGCAACAAAUGCCCUGCUUCCAGGAAAAGCCUCUAAGCAUCAGGUAACAUCAAAUCGUACCCCAAACCGACACAGGUGGUCAGGUAGAGAAUACCAAGGCGCUUGAGAGAACUCGGGUGAAGGAACUAGGCAAAAUGGUGCCGUAACUUCGGGAGAAGGCACGCUGACACGUAGGUGAAGUGAUUUACUCAUGGAGCUGAAGUCAGUCGAAGAUACCAGCUGGCUGCAACUGUUUAUUAAAAACACAGCACUGUGCAAACACGAAAGUGGACGUAUACGGUGUGACGCCUGCCCGGUGCCGGAAGGUUAAUUGAUGGGGUCAGCGCAAGCGAAGCUCCUGAUCGAAGCCCCGGUAAACGGCGGCCGUAACUAUAACGGUCCUAAGGUAGCGAAAUUCCUUGUCGGGUAAGUUCCGACCUGCACGAAUGGCGUAAUGAUGGCCAGGCUGUCUCCACCCGAGACUCAGUGAAAUUGAACUCGCUGUGAAGAUGCAGUGUACCCGCGGCAAGACGGAAAGACCCCGUGAACCUUUACUAUAGCUUGACACUGAACAUUGAGCCUUGAUGUGUAGGAUAGGUGGGAGGCUUUGAAGUGUGGACGCCAGUCUGCAUGGAGCCGGCCUUGAAAUACCACCCUUUAAUGUUUGAUGUUCUAACGUGGACCCGUGAUCCGGGUUGCGGACAGUGUCUGGUGGGUAGUUUGACUGGGGCGGUCUCCUCCUAAAGAGUAACGGAGGAGCACGAAGGUUGGCUAAUCCUGGUCGGACAUCAGGAGGUUAGUGCAAUGGCAUAAGCCAGCUUGACUGCGAGCGUGACGGCGCGAGCAGGUGCGAAAGCAGGUCAUAGUGAUCCGGUGGUUCUGAAUGGAAGGGCCAUCGCUCAACGGAUAAAAGGUACUCCGGGGAUAACAGGCUGAUACCGCCCAAGAGUUCAUAUCGACGGCGGUGUUUGGCACCUCGAUGUCGGCUCAUCACAUCCUGGGGCUGAAGUAGGUCCCAAGGGUAUGGCUGUUCGCCAUUUAAAGUGGUACGCGAGCUGGGUUUAGAACGUCGUGAGACAGUUCGGUCCCUAUCUGCCGUGGGCGCUGGAGAACUGAGGGGGGCUGCUCCUAGUACGAGAGGACCGGAGUGGACGCAUCACUGGUGUUCGGGUUGUCAUGCCAAUGGCACUGCCCGGUAGCUAAAUGCGGAAGAGAUAAGUGCUGAAAGCAUCUAAGCACGAAACUUGCCCCGAGAUGAGUUCUCCCUGAGACUUAGAGUCUCCUGAAGGAACGUUGAAGACGACGACGUUGAUAGGCCGGGUGUGUAAGCGCAGCGAUGCGUUGAGCUAACCGGUACUAAUGAACCGUGAGGCUUAACCUU